RNAcentral lists this ribosomal RNA (496 nucleotides) under uncultured bacterium. RNAcentral's name for it is "partial 16S ribosomal RNA". It matches the Rfam family "Bacterial small subunit ribosomal RNA", at positions 30 to 523 of the family's 1533-position model. The record is from RNAcentral.
AUUGAACGCUGGCGGAAUGCUUUACACAUGCAAGUCGAACGGUAGAGGGGGCAACCCCUCGAGAGUGGCGAACGGGUGAGUAAUAUAUCGGAACGUGCCCAGUCGUGGGGGAUAACGUAGCGAAAGUUACGCUAAUACCGCAUACGAUCUAAGGAUGAAAGCGGGGGACCGUAAGGCCUCGCGCGAUUGGAGCGGCCGAUAUCAGAUUAGGUAGUUGGUGAGGUAAAGGCUCACCAAGGCGACGAUCCCUAGCUGGUUUGAGAGGAUGAUCAGCCACACUGGAACUGAGACACGGUCCAGACUCCUACGGGAGGCAGCAGUGGGGAAUAUUGGACAAUGGGCGCAAGCCUGAUCCAGCCAUGCCGCGUGUGUGAAGAAGGCCUUCGGGUUGUAAAGCACUUUUGUCCGGAAAGAAAUCCAAUCGAUUAAUACUCGGUUGGGAUGACGGUACCGGAAGAAUAAGCACCGGCUAACUUCGUGCCAGCAGCCGCGGUAA